GUAGUUGUAAGGUCAGUGGUAGAGUGUAUGCUUUCUAGGGAUGAUGUCCUGGGUUCAAUCCCCAGCUUCUCCC
This is a non-coding RNA of Dallia pectoralis (Alaska blackfish), 73 nucleotides long. The record is from the annotation of a GenBank genome assembly. NCBI's taxonomy places the organism in Eukaryota, Metazoa, Chordata, Actinopteri, Esociformes, Umbridae.